RNAcentral lists this transfer RNA (67 nucleotides) under Arcuatula senhousia (Asian date mussel). RNAcentral's name for it is "tRNA-Met". It matches the Rfam family "tRNA". From Rfam's summary of the family: Transfer RNA (tRNA) molecules are approximately 80 nucleotides in length. Their secondary structure includes four short double-helical elements and three loops (D, anti-codon, and T loops). Further hydrogen bonds mediate the characteristic L-shaped molecular structure. tRNAs have two regions of fundamental functional importance: the anti-codon, which is responsible for specific mRNA codon recognition, and the 3' end, to which the tRNAs corresponding amino acid is attached (by aminoacyl-tRNA synthetases). tRNAs cope with the degeneracy of the genetic code in two manners: having more than one tRNA (with a specific anti-codon) for a particular amino acid; and 'wobble' base-pairing, i.e. permitting non-standard base-pairing at the 3rd anti-codon position. Lineage: Eukaryota; Metazoa; Mollusca; Bivalvia; Mytilida; Mytilidae. The record is from RNAcentral.
AGCAAAAUAAUCUAAGUAAAAGGAUGUAAGGCUCAUGACCUUAAAGUGCUGGUUUCAGUUUUUGCUU